Molecule: ribosomal RNA, 264 nt
Filed under: uncultured Oscillospiraceae bacterium
Lineage: Bacteria; Bacillati; Bacillota; Clostridia; Eubacteriales; Oscillospiraceae
Description: partial 16S ribosomal RNA
Rfam family: Bacterial small subunit ribosomal RNA
Source: RNAcentral
ACUGAUUAUUUUGUGACUGAGUGGCGGACGGGUGAGUAACACGUGAGCAACCUGCCUUUCAGUGUGGAAUAACGUUUGGAAACGAACGCUAAUACCGCAUGAUGCAGCGAGAGGGCAUCCUUUUGCUGCCAAAGAUUUAUCGCUGAAAGAUGGGCUCGCGUCCGAUUAGCUAGUUGGUGAGGUAACGGCUCACCAAGGCCGCGAUCGGUAGCCGGACUGAGAGGUUGAACGGCCACAUUGGGACUGAGACACGGCCCAGACUCC